UAGAGAGAACUCCGUGACACCACAUCAGUGAUCCGCUCUUAACUUAGGAACGGCUUACAGUGUUAAAAUAAAAAAAAAUUUAAAAAAUUUUUAAAAAAAAGGAAGGAAGGGGAAAAAAAAAAAAAAAAAAAAAAAGAAUAAAAACAUUGGCUCAGCUGGAAGCGUGAAUCGACAGCCUGGUGGGAAGGCAGGGCCAACCCAGGCAAAGCUCAGGUGUCAAGCGCAAUACAGAUUAGUGACGGGAAGGGGUGGAGCCAGGAUCCACCGCCUCGCAGAGCUCAUUUUAGGGUCGGCGGUGGAGGUGAGAGCAUCUUACUUGUGAUCGUGGUUCUGUAGAGGUUUUCUGAAGAGCAUGCAGUGCCAAAGAGCCAAUCGCUUCAGGGAUCAUCCCUCUUCCUCUUCACAUUCCCCAAGAUGAAAACCUUCAGCGGCAAACGAGCGAGGCCAACGCACAGAAAGAGACCGCACACCCACAUCUUUGUGAGGAUACAGAACCCAGCUUCUCCUCUCUCCAGCUCAUUCCUGCAGGACCAAGACCACCACCACCAAGGAGUCAUCACCACCCAGGAGCCACUCCAAGUCCCACAGAAGACCCCUUCACCAUGGAUGGGCCACCCCAUCACAGCCCCACUCAAGAGGAGCCCCAAGGGGGACAGGGGGACUUAGCCUCCCACCACACUCAGGGGGGCGGAGGGAGUCUCAAAGGGGGCAGGGGAGGGCCGAGGGAGGGGCUAAGGGGACAGGGGAGGGCAAGGGAGGGCUAAGGGGAGGGGCCCCAGGGGGGCAGGGGAGGGCUGAGGGAGGGGCCCCAAGGGGGCAAGGGGAGGGGCCCCGGGGGGAGGGCCGAGGGGCAGGGGAGGGGCCCCCAAGCGGGGCCCCCAAAAAAAAUGCCACUGACAUGCCCACCCUCCCGCCAAAAAAAAAAAUAUAUCUCUUUAGAGAUAGUGCAAAAUCCGGCCUCCAGCACCAUUACAAGGGGGAGAACACAACUCAGGCUGAGUCUAGACUCAGCCUGAGUUGUGUUCUCCCCCAGAAAAAAAAAACAAGAAAAACUUAGAAAAUAAAAAUAAAUUUUAAAAACUUAAACA
RNAcentral lists this long non-coding RNA (1088 nucleotides) under Coturnix japonica (Japanese quail). RNAcentral's name for it is "lncRNA (ENSCJPG00005007612.1)". Lineage: Eukaryota; Metazoa; Chordata; Aves; Galliformes; Phasianidae. The record is from RNAcentral.